RNAcentral lists this ribosomal RNA (301 nucleotides) under uncultured bacterium. RNAcentral describes it as "partial 16S ribosomal RNA". It matches the Rfam family "Bacterial small subunit ribosomal RNA", at positions 510 to 808 of the family's 1533-position model. The record is from RNAcentral.
CGUCGCCGCGGUAAUACGAAGGGGGCUAGCGUUACUCGGAAUUACUGGGCGUAAAGGGCGCGUAGGCGGCACGAUUAGUCAGGCGUGAAAUUCCUGGGCUCAACCUGGGGACUGCGCUUGAUACGGUCGAGCUAGAGGAUGGAAGAGGGUUGUGGAAUUCCCAGUGUAGAGGUGAAAUUCGUAGAUAUUGGGAAGAACACCGGUGGCGAAGGCGGCAACCUGGUCCAUUACUGACGCUGAGGCGCGACAGCGUGGGGAGCAAACAGGAUUAGAUACCCCGGUAGUCCCUGUCUCUUAUACA